GACGUAGGGCGCGAGCGUUGUCUGGAUUUAUUGGGCGUAAAGAGCUCGUAGGCGGCUUGUCGCGUCGACCGUGAAAACUUGGGGCUCAACCCCAAGCCUGCGGUCGAUACGGGCAGGCUCGAGUUCGGUAGGGGAGACUGGAAUUCCUGGUGUAGCGGUGAAAUGCGCAGAUAUCAGGAGGAACACCGAUGGCGAAGGCAGGUCUCUGGGCCGAUACUGACGCUGAGGAGCGAAAGCGUGGGGAGCGAACAGG
Molecule: ribosomal RNA, 253 nt
Filed under: uncultured bacterium
Lineage: Bacteria
Description: partial 16S ribosomal RNA
Rfam family: Bacterial small subunit ribosomal RNA
Source: RNAcentral